This 465-nucleotide ribosomal RNA is filed under the name uncultured bacterium. Its description in RNAcentral is "partial 16S ribosomal RNA". It matches the Rfam family "Bacterial small subunit ribosomal RNA", at positions 28 to 504 of the family's 1533-position model. The record is from RNAcentral.
GACGAACGCUGGCGGCGUGCUUAACACAUGCAAGUCGAACGGAAAGGCCCUGCUUUUGUGGGGUGCUGGAGUGGCGAACGGGUGAGUGUAACGUGAGUAACCUGCCCUUGUUUUUGGGGUAACUUAAGGAAACUGGGGUUAAUAUCGGACAGGAGCCCCUCCAGCAUGGUAGGGGUGGGAUAGUUUCGGCGUUUGGGGAUGGACGGGCGGUUGAUCAAUUUGUUGGUUGGGUAGUGGCUUACCAACGCAGUGACGGGUCGCAGGCGUGAGAGGGUGACGGGCCACAUUGGGACGGAGAUACGGCGCAGGCUCCUACGGAAAGCAGCAGUGGUGAAUAUUGCACAAUAGGCGGAAGCCUAAUACGGCAUCGGGGCGUGCGAGAUGACUGCUUGCGGGUUGUAAACCGCUGUCGACUGUGCCGAUGCGUGGGUGGUAGUAAUAGAUAAAGAAGCGGCGGAUAACGUC